Molecule: ribosomal RNA, 829 nt
Filed under: uncultured low G+C Gram-positive bacterium
Lineage: Bacteria; Bacillati; Bacillota
Description: bacterial SSU rRNA
Rfam family: Bacterial small subunit ribosomal RNA
Source: RNAcentral
AUUGGAAAGAGGAGUGGCGGACGGGUGAGUAACACGUGGGUAACCUACCCAUCAGAGGGGGAUAACACUUGGAAACAGGUGCUAAUACCGCAUAACAGUUUAUGCCGCAUGGCAUAAGAGUGAAAGGCGCUUUCGGGUGUCGCUGAUGGAUGGACCCGCGGUGCAUUAGCUAGUUGGUGAGGUAACGGCUCACCAAGGCCACGAUGCAUAGCCGACCUGAGAGGGUGAUCGGCCACACUGGGACUGAGACACGGCCCAGACUCCUACGGGAGGCAGCAGUAGGGAAUCUUCGGCAAUGGACGAAAGUCUGACCGAGCAACGCCGCGUGAGUGAAGAAGGUUUUCGGAUCGUAAAACUCUGUUGUUAGAGAAGAACAAGGACGUUAGUAACUGAACGUCCCCUGACGGUAUCUAACCAGAAAGCCACGGCUAACUACGUGCCAGCAGCCGCGGUAAUACGUAGGUGGCAAGCGUUGUCCGGAUUUAUUGGGCGUAAAGCGAGCGUCAGGCGGUUUCUUAAGUCUGAUGUGAAAGCCCCCGGCUCAACCGGGGAGGGUCAUUGGAAACUGGGAGACUUGAGUGCUAGAAGAGGAGAGUGGAAUUCCAUGUGUAGCGGUGAAAUGCGUAGAUAUAUGGAGGAACACCAGUGGCGAAGGCGGCUCUCUGGUCUGUAACUGACGCUGAGGCUCGAAGGCGUGGGGAGCUAAACAGGAUUAGAUACCCUGGUAGUCCACGCCGUAAACGAUGAGUGCUAAGUGUUGGAGGGUUUCCACCCUUCAGUGCUGCAGCAAACGCAUUAAGCACUCCGCCUGGGGAGUACGACCGCAAGG